GGUGGAAGAAGGAGGAGGGCGAUAUUUAGACAGAGACGGAGGAAGGCAGUAGCAGAGAGAUGCGGGAGGAAGAGACAGAAUGACGAGUGAGACAGAUAGGGAGAAAAAAUUGAAAUGAGACGGAGGGAGGGAGAGAGAGAGAGAGAGAGAGAGGUGAAACAAAGGAAGAGUUAGAUGGGGAGUGAGUGAGCUUUGUGGUCUCAGGCUCCAUGGGAGGUUCAGCCCAAUCAUUUAUAAAAGGUAAAUGCUGUCAGGACGCAGGGCGUUUAAAGGCGCGGCGCUGCAGGUGUGAUUUAUGCUCUCAGUACGGGGCUAUAAAUCACCCUGCCUUUGUUUCCACAGGCUGCUACUGCUGCUGCUGCUACUGCUGCUACUGCUGCCGCGUCAAGACAUACCCAUCCUUGCCUCAUCUACGGCAGGCACACACAGUGGACAGCAAUAAAGACAGAGCAAAGAAGCAUGAUGAUGGGAAUGGAUGGCUGGAUGGAGAGUGAGGAGAGAAGGGGUGACCAGUUGGAGUCUAUGAUGAGAUGUGUUGAGUCAAAGAGAUGCUGACAUCUUUGGAGAUGAUUGAUUCACCCCGUCUGGCCAGAGAGGAGUGGAGAGGAGAGCGGGGCUGGAUCCUCCCCGGGGCUGCAGCUUCCUGCCGCCCUGCCAUGGCACCACCACAGUGUCACUUCACUAGUGAUGGAGCUCCCAGCCCCUCACCCACACACCCGCACCGAGACCCCCAUCUCUUGUCUCCAAGCAAGCUGCUGCAAUCAGCAGAGGCCCUGAUUGGACUUGGGCAGGACAGAUUGGGAAGCCGUGAUGGCGGCACAGAAGUUGAGGGAGAAGCUAUUUAUCCCAGACGGAUCAGGAGGUGUGUGACGGAGGUGUGGACGGUUGCUGCAGGUCAGUGACGUUGGCAGGCGCCAGGCAGGCCGGCCCACAUGGCUCGGGGACUGUGGGACUACAGACAGAUGGCACCUGGUGGGUGACAAACAAUUAACAAACCAACAAGAAUAGCUGGAUCGGCAGUAUACCCACAAGCACAGGAGAUAGCAAGAGAGCGGGUGCAUCUGUGCUCUGAACACUUUCACUCUUUACUUUUCCUCUCCCCGAGUCUUGUUUUGUAUAACAGUUGCAAUUUACCCAUGUGUCUUUUUCACAAAAACACUCUUGUUGUCGUGUCGCUAUAGAACAGUCUAAAUAAAGCGGUGUUGAGCAUAUGCAGCUAGCAUAUGUUUCUGUUUAUUUCAGUGCAGUUUUGAGAGACGCAGUGGGUAAUUUAAAUGUACAAUACAAUGAAACAACACAUUUGAUAUCUACUUAAAUGUCAAGCAGAAGUUAGAAGCAAUCAUAUAAAGUUUCUUACAGCAAAAGCAUUACCUGGCAUCGUCGUGCUGUGUGUGUGAGCGUGUUUUUUGCACACACACACACACACACAAAAAAAAAAAAUCAUGCUAGAAAAUUGAUUCAGCGUGUUUGUUCAAAAGUGAACAUGGUGGCCGAUGGCAUUUCACCGCCUAACUACAUCCAAAUGUCA
Molecule: long non-coding RNA, 1528 nt
Organism: Larimichthys crocea (large yellow croaker)
Lineage: Eukaryota; Metazoa; Chordata; Actinopteri; Sciaenidae
Exons: 3
Source: RefSeq, a predicted model, not a curated record